Astyanax mexicanus (Mexican tetra) is the source of this 523-nucleotide long non-coding RNA. RefSeq lists it as uncharacterized. The transcript has 4 exons. Lineage: Eukaryota; Metazoa; Chordata; Actinopteri; Characiformes; Acestrorhamphidae. The record is from RefSeq and is a predicted model, not a curated record.
CCCGCCACCACCCCCCCUCUUCGGAGGACUAAUUAAGCUUUAUUUGUAUUAAAUAUUUGUUCAUAUUUUUAGGUUUUAGUGUUGUUGUGGACAGAACACAGCAACAGUUAUAAUCUGGUACUGGUUUCACAAGGAUCCAGAAGCACAGCCUAACACUAUGUUCAUGGUCCAUUGUCUCAACCACCAAGUACGCAGACCUAUUUAGCAUUAGAUAAAGAUAAUUUUAAAAAGCCAGAUCAUAAAAUAAUAAAUAUUUAAGAGCAGUUUCUUAGGGUUUUAGUGUUGUUGUGAGCAGAACAUGGCAAUUUGUGAAAGAACUAUUAAAAAUCAUAAUAUAAAUAUUUAGGAUCAUAUUUUUAGGUUUUAGUGUUGUUGUGGACAGAACACACUAAUUAGUAAAAGUACUGUUAAAGAUCAUAAUAUAAAUAUUUAAAUUCAUAUUUUUAGGUUUUAGUGUUGUUGUGGACAGAACACAGCAACAGUUAUAGUCUGGUACUGGUUUCACAAGGAUCCAGAAGCACAG